RNAcentral lists this ribosomal RNA (519 nucleotides) under uncultured bacterium. RNAcentral describes it as "bacterial SSU rRNA". It matches the Rfam family "Bacterial small subunit ribosomal RNA", at positions 29 to 526 of the family's 1533-position model. The record is from RNAcentral.
AGCGAACGCUGGCGGCGUGCUUAACACAUGCAAGUCGAACGUGAAAGGGAGCAAUCCUGAGUAAAGUGGCGUACGGGUGAGUAACACGUGGGUAAUCUACCCCAGAGUCUGGAAUAACCUGCCGAAAGGCGGGCUAAUACUGGAUAGAGCGAUGAAAUCCGUAAAUGGGUUUUUCGGGAAAGGGAGGAAGCAAUUCCCCUUGCUCUGGGAUGAGCUCGCGCCUCAUUAGCUAGUUGGUGGGGUAAUGGCCCACCAAGGCUAUGAUGAGUAGCUGGUCUGAGAGGAUGAUCAGCCACACUGGAACUGAAACACGGUCCAGACUCCUACGGGAGGCAGCAGUGGGGAAUCUUGCGCAAUGGACGAAAGUCUGACGCAGCCACGCCGCGUGAGUGAAGAAGGCCUUAGGGUUGUAAAGCUCUGUCGAGUGGGACGAAAACUCAGAAGGUGAAUAAUCUUCUGAUCUGACGGUACCACUAAAGGAAGCACCGGCUAACUCCGUGCCAGCAGCCGCAGUAAAAC